AUUGAACGCUGGCGGCAUGCCUUACACAUGCAAGUCGAACGGCAGCACGGGAGCAAUCCUGGUGGCGAGUGGCGAACGGGUGAGUAAAGUAUCGGAACGUGCCCAGUCGUGGGGGAUAACGUAGCGAAAGUUACGCUAAUACCGCAUACGAUCUAUGGAUGAAAGCGGGGGAUCGCAAGACCGCGCGCGAUUGGAGCGGCCGAUAUCAGAUUAGGUAGUUGGUGGGGUAAAGGCUCACCAAGCCGACGAUCUGUAGCUGGUCUGAGAGGACGACCAGCCACACUGGGACUGAGACACGGCCCAGACUCCUACGGGAGGCAGCAGUGGGGAAUUUUGGACAAUGGGCGCAAGCCUGAUCCAGCCAUGCCGCGUGCAGGAUGAAGGCCUUCGGGUUGUAAACUGCUUUUGUACGGAACGAAAAGGUUUGGCCUAAUAAGCUGAGCUCAUGACGGUACCGUAAGAAUAAGCACCGGCUAACUACGUGCCAGCAGCCGCGGUAA
This 500-nucleotide ribosomal RNA is filed under the name uncultured bacterium. RNAcentral's name for it is "partial 16S ribosomal RNA". It matches the Rfam family "Bacterial small subunit ribosomal RNA", at positions 30 to 523 of the family's 1533-position model. The record is from RNAcentral.